This is a long non-coding RNA of Cataglyphis hispanica, 897 nucleotides long. RefSeq lists it as uncharacterized. Lineage: Eukaryota; Metazoa; Arthropoda; Insecta; Hymenoptera; Formicidae. The record is from RefSeq and is a predicted model, not a curated record. The transcript is spliced from 4 exons.
AGUUAGAGUAAAGUUGCUAGGAAGGUCCCCAGUUCACCGGUCACCUGCUCAGUAAAUAGAGGAGAUAAUAGUUGCUUUCCAUUUGCACUCAAGUGAUACUGAGUCACUCAAUUAUAGUGUCAAGACUUCGCAAUAGUUGUUCGUCCUUGGAACACCACUGCACUAACUCUUCGAUGGUCACCACGCCGUCCUUAUUUGCGUCCAUCAACUAAAAAUAUGCUUCAGAGAUUUUUAUGCUCAUCAUACAUAGAGAUGUCAUACUAAUACUUACAUGGAAAAUGCGAUCGACGUGUUCGCGAGCGGCCGCGUGCGGUUCGAGGAUUUGUGGCUGCGUGUAACGACCCAACAUCUCGUAGAUGGAUCCCACGACGUCCAGCAUCUCUUCUUUACUUAUCAAACCAUCGCCGUCCAGAUCAUACAGCCCGAAGACCCAUUGUAAUUUCUCUUCCACCGAUCCUCUCGACACCUUCGACAGUAUGGAAUUCUGAAAAUACGAUAUUGCUGCAGAGAGAUAGAUAUACUGAUUAGCCGAAGGAGAUAAAAGAGAAGCGGACAAAUUUAACGAAUUUCGAAAGCCAGGAUAUUUAAACGUCAAAAAAAUCCCAAAAUCUGAAAGAUUAGAGAAAGUGUGGUAUUCAAGCAUAUCACCCGAGAAGACAUCCAAAGACUCGUACCAAGUCGAAAGAUAUGACCUUUGACACAUUAACAGUCCUGGUGCGACAAGGGUUGGACUCAGACCUACGCAAAAAUUACCAUUCACAGAACACACGGGAUUACUAUGUACAUACGGACAAGACAGACAGACAAACAGAUAAACAGAUCAGGCAACCCGUGUCCGUAAGGCGAAAGGGGAAGAGGGGUAAAAAUAUAAGAAGAGAAGAGAGGACCCAUCACUGA